This is a long non-coding RNA of Sander lucioperca (pikeperch), 570 nucleotides long. RefSeq lists it as uncharacterized. The record is from RefSeq and is a predicted model, not a curated record. NCBI's taxonomy places the organism in Eukaryota, Metazoa, Chordata, Actinopteri, Perciformes, Percidae. The transcript has 3 exons.
GUUUUCCCGCGCCGUUUGUGGUCAGAAGCAAUUUGUAACUCAGGUGACGAUCCCAGCACUCUCCAUAGAUGGCGGUGUUAAGUGACGAUCCCAGCACUCUCCAGUAGAUGGCAGUAAUGCAACACUUAUGGAUGCCAACUGCUGUUAAACCACAUGAAGAAGCUUUGUCAAAUGUUUCGGAGAGACGGUUUGCACCAUAGACAUAAUAGAAUCUACUUGAUGUUCCUCCAGAUCUGACUAAUCAGAUGCUGUCCUGAACACCUGUUUGACGAGGUUUACCUGGACCCACAAGACUCUCCUCAUUGUAUGAAGGUAUUGUGGGACAGGUGCCAUACUUCUGCCAAGUGAUGAUGGUCUGAAGACAACACAGCAGCAUCAGGAAAGAUUCAGUAUCCACAGGAUGACUUCUGUGACCUGAGAGCCUACAUUAUCAGCUGACAUCUUCAGUAGAAAAGAAACCCUUUAGACUGGUGGAGGACAUGAUCUGGACAGUUAUCUGCUACUCAUGCAUUAUGUAUACACACUUUAUAUUUCCAUUUCAUUGACUAUGAAUAAAGUGCUUUAUUUCUA